RNAcentral lists this ribosomal RNA (435 nucleotides) under uncultured Lachnospiraceae bacterium. RNAcentral describes it as "partial 16S ribosomal RNA". It matches the Rfam family "Bacterial small subunit ribosomal RNA", at positions 341 to 792 of the family's 1533-position model. Lineage: Bacteria; Bacillati; Bacillota; Clostridia; Lachnospirales; Lachnospiraceae. The record is from RNAcentral.
ACGGAAGGCAGCAGUGGGGAAUAUUGCACAAUGGGGGAAACCCUGAUGCAGCGACGCCGCGUGAGUGAAGAAGUAUUUCGGUAUGUAAAGCUCUAUCAGCAGGGAAGAAAAAGGACGGUACCUGACUAAGAAGCCCCGGCUAACUACGUGCCAGCAGCCGCGGUAAUACGUAGGGGGCAAGCGUUAUCCGGAUUUACUGGGUGUAAAGGGAGUGUAGGUGGCCUGGCAAGCCAGAUGUGAAAGCCCGCGGCUCAACCGCGGGACUGCAUUUGGAACUGUUAGGCUUGAGUGCAGGAGAGGAAAGUGGAAUUCCUAGUGUAGCGGUGAAAUGCGUAGAUAUUAGGAGGAACACCAGUGGCGAAGGCGGCUUUCUGGACUGUAACUGACACUGAGGCUCGAAAGCGUGGGGAGCAAACAGGAUUAGAUACCCUGGUA